UGGGGAAUUUUGGACAAUGGGCGAAAGCCUGAUCCAGCAAUGCCGCGUGUGUGAAGAAGGCCUUCGGGUUGUAAAGCACUUUUGUCCGGAAAGAAAUGGCCCUGGUUAAUACCUGGGGUCGAUGACGGUACCGGAAGAAUAAGGACCGGCUAACUACGGGCCAGCAGCCGCGGCAAUACGAAGGGGCCAAGCGUUAAUCGGAAUUACUGGGCGUAAAGCGUGCGCAGGCGGGGGGGUAAGACCGGGGGG
RNAcentral lists this ribosomal RNA (249 nucleotides) under uncultured Burkholderiales bacterium. Its description in RNAcentral is "partial 16S ribosomal RNA". It matches the Rfam family "Bacterial small subunit ribosomal RNA", at positions 355 to 596 of the family's 1533-position model. The record is from RNAcentral. Lineage: Bacteria; Pseudomonadati; Pseudomonadota; Betaproteobacteria; Burkholderiales.